This 253-nucleotide ribosomal RNA is filed under the name uncultured bacterium. Its description in RNAcentral is "partial 16S ribosomal RNA". It matches the Rfam family "Bacterial small subunit ribosomal RNA", at positions 524 to 776 of the family's 1533-position model. The record is from RNAcentral.
UACAGAGGUCCCGAGCGUUGUUCGGAUUCACUGGGCGUAAAGGGUGCGUAGGUGGCGAGGUAAGUCGGAUGUGAAAGCUCGGAGCUCAACUCCGAAAUGGCAUUGGAAACUACCUUGCUCGAGGGUUGGAGGGGAGACUGGAAUUCUCGGUGUAGCAGUGAAAUGCGUAGAUAUCGAGAGGAACACCAGUGGCGAAGGCGAGUCCCUGGACAACUUCUGACGCUGAGGCACGAAAGCUAGGGGAGCAAACAGG